RNAcentral lists this long non-coding RNA (1080 nucleotides) under Homo sapiens (human). RNAcentral describes it as "HSALNT0073802". The record is from RNAcentral. Lineage: Eukaryota; Metazoa; Chordata; Mammalia; Primates; Hominidae.
CUUCUAUCUUUGCAGGAAGGCAGGGAUUUCAACCUGGGCAACAAGUCCACAGAACAUGAGAUUUCUGAAGGCUCGUAUACUACUUCUUGUAAUUUUUCCUUGCUUUUUCUACUUCCAGGUGUGUGGGAUACAUCAUGGUUACAUAAAAAUCCUUUCACUAUAGUUCCUGCUUCCCUAUCUUCAAAAUGAUUCCCUGAAGACUUCCGCCAUGACGGUCUAAAGCCUAACCUCUGAACUGUGGAUGGAAAAUUGAACUCCUUGAUGUGAUCUCUGCACAUCAUGCAACCCUAAACCUAAAUAUAUUCUCUGUGUGGGAGCCCCAUUAUUUUUAGUCUAAUACAUUUUAAGUCAUCUUAAAAAAUUAUAUUUUGUUUUCUUUUAUAUGGUCGAUUUUACCUUGUUUUCUUUGACUAUUACUUGUUGUCUUGUAUGAGAUUCUACUGGUCUCAAGGCUUAAACCUCACAAUCUUCAGGGUCUGAUGGAUUUCUCUCUAUUUUCUAAGUUCCCUGGGAUAUGUUUGAUGAGUUUUUGUGGCAGAGAAGCAGAGAAAGGAGAAAGGUGAUGUCUAUACUACUUCCUUUUUCUCCCCAGCCACAAAUGCCAGAGUCUAUAAAGAGACCCUGAGAAGCAAGCUCUGUGCAGAGUCACUUCUAAGAAAUACCAGGAUAAAAUGUAGGUGAGAGACAUUUGUGUGAAAAAAGGGAUGAGAGAGAGGAGGAAGGAUUGAGAAAAUUUUCAAGGCAGAAAGGGACCUAUAUCUUCUAAUUUGGCAAAAUGGGAGAGGUAGGUAGGAGAUGGGAAUGCUCUCUUAUCUAUCUCGCCUUUUGGAUGGAGAUUAAUAACACAACCCAGGAGAAAGUGAUCCUUAGGAAGCCCAAAUGACUGAAAACAGCCCUCGAGUAUACCAAUUGGACAAGUUGGGGUGAAGGAGACCUAGUUAUUGUAAUACAUAGGUAGAGAUUGUGGUUGUGAGACUGUUGGGUGAUUAACUCAUAGAUGUUCCAAAGUCAUCUGUCAGCUAAAAUAGCUGUCAUUAGGAAUGCUUGAAAGGUUUCAAAGAAUACUUCAGUAGCAAUGAG